AUGGCGGUGCUUCUAUGCCCGUACGAUGGCUUCAGCAAGACGGAGGAGGUGGAAUUCUUCCACAUCCCCAUCUGGCUGCAGAUUCACAAGCUCCCAGACCCUUACUACAAGCAAAACAUCAUGGAAAAGCUGCUGAAGGAUGCGGGAGAAAUCAUGGAGAUGCGGUUGAACGGGAACACCCGCGGUGACUAUGUUAGGGUUCGGGUGCGACAUGAUAUCCGCAAGCCCCUCACAAAGUACGUCAACAUCCUCCGCGCUAAGGAGCGCCAGAUUUACCUGGUUAGAUAUGAGAAACUUGCUAGAUUUUGUAAGUUCUGUGGUUUGAUUGGUCAUGAUCACAAAGAUUGCGGUCUGGGUAUCCAUGAGGAGAAGGAUCUCAAGUUUGGUGAAUGGAUCUAUGCAGAUGCUCCCAAUAAACCCAGGCAAGAGGAGUGUACUACUAAACCUACUGGAUAUGCGACAAUGAAGGCUGAUGACAAGGUGCCCGGUAGAUCGGAACCUCAGCAUGGUCCCUUUGAUGCCGAAGUGUUGGACACAGCAACGAGCCCGAUCAAGAAAACUAGUGUCAGAACGGAUGGGGUUUUAGUCCCAAAAAGGAGGCUGGACUUGGAGGAGGCAGGGAAGCCACUGGGUGACAGUCCUGGAGUCCCAAAAACAAUGUUGGCCACCACUGAUGGUAAGGAAAUUGCUCCGUAG
This 696-nucleotide ribosomal RNA is filed under the name Triticum aestivum (bread wheat). RNAcentral describes it as "partial small subunit ribosomal RNA". The record is from RNAcentral. Lineage: Eukaryota; Viridiplantae; Streptophyta; Magnoliopsida; Poales; Poaceae.